RNAcentral lists this long non-coding RNA (377 nucleotides) under Sorghum bicolor (sorghum). RNAcentral's name for it is "long non-coding RNA (SBIC_LNC016996)". The record is from RNAcentral. Lineage: Eukaryota; Viridiplantae; Streptophyta; Magnoliopsida; Poales; Poaceae.
GCGGUGUGGGUCCAGAGUAACGGCGGCUCUGGGCGUUAGGCUUUGCCGAGUGCUCGUAGUUAAGCCCUCGGCAAAGCUCUGCUGGAGGUCAGACAUUGCCGAGGGCCCGCCAGCCUGCCCUCGGCAACACCCCUCUUUACUGAGGGUCUGGAGUGGGCCCUCGGCAAUUUUUUUUGUUUUUUUGGAUCCAUGUUUUUUUUCUUUCUGUGGCACACCUACACUAUUUUUAAGUACAUGCUAAAGUUUGGUUCAUUUUAAAAUAACUUUGGUCAAGCCCUCGGCAAAGAAAUUAAUUAAAAAAAAUAAGAAACUCUUUGCCGAGGGCCCUGGAUCUAGGCCCUCGGCAAAGAGGCCGACCGUAAUAAAACGCCCGAGCG